RNAcentral lists this transfer RNA (72 nucleotides) under Ictidomys tridecemlineatus (thirteen-lined ground squirrel). RNAcentral describes it as "Spermophilus tridecemlineatus (thirteen-lined ground squirrel) tRNA". It matches the Rfam family "tRNA". From Rfam's summary of the family: Transfer RNA (tRNA) molecules are approximately 80 nucleotides in length. Their secondary structure includes four short double-helical elements and three loops (D, anti-codon, and T loops). Lineage: Eukaryota; Metazoa; Chordata; Mammalia; Rodentia; Sciuridae. The record is from Rfam by way of RNAcentral.
UGGGUUGUGGCUCUGUGGCAGAGCGCUUGCCUGGCAUGUGUGAGGCCCUGGGUUCAAUUCUCAGCACCACGU